UACAGAGACUGCGAGCGUUAUUCGGAUUCACUGGGCGUAAAGGGCGCGUAGGCGGCCCGCUAAGUCGAACGUGAAAUCCCCGAGCUCAACUCGGGAACUGCGUCCGAUACUGGUGGGCUUGAAUCCGGGAGAGGGAUGCGGAAUUCCAGGUGUAGCGGUGAAAUGCGUAGAUAUCUGGAGGAACACCGGUGGCGAAGGCGGCAUCCUGGACCGGCAUUGACGCUGAGGCGCGAAAGCGUGGGGAGCGAACAGG
RNAcentral lists this ribosomal RNA (253 nucleotides) under uncultured bacterium. RNAcentral describes it as "partial 16S ribosomal RNA". It matches the Rfam family "Bacterial small subunit ribosomal RNA", at positions 524 to 776 of the family's 1533-position model. The record is from RNAcentral.